CUUAAUAAAUCCUCUGUUGCCUUUUUAAUAUCUGGAAGUGAAGACUGAAUCGUGCUAAUGCUAGGUGGGCCACUUGCCUUAUCACUGCCAACAUCCUGAACUUGAGGUGUAGCAAGUCCGGAUUCAAUAUAACCUGCUUCAGCAAUCUUUUGUGACUGCAAUCCAAUUUUGUUCAAUAAGUCAAAUCCAUCCCACUUUAAUUCCAUGGAAACAGGCAGACCAUGUUUUUGAACAAUAGUUUGGUUGAUAAGUUCAG
Molecule: unclassified non-coding RNA, 256 nt
Filed under: Hevea brasiliensis (rubber tree)
Lineage: Eukaryota; Viridiplantae; Streptophyta; Magnoliopsida; Malpighiales; Euphorbiaceae
Source: RNAcentral